This 471-nucleotide ribosomal RNA is filed under the name uncultured bacterium. RNAcentral describes it as "bacterial SSU rRNA". It matches the Rfam family "Bacterial small subunit ribosomal RNA", at positions 335 to 799 of the family's 1533-position model. The record is from RNAcentral.
ACUCCUACGGGAGGCAGCAGUGGGGAAUAUUGCACAAUGGGCGCAAGCCUGAUGCAGCCAUGCCGCGUGUGUGAAGAAGGCCUUCGGUUGUAAAGCACUUUCAGCAGUGAGGAAGGCGGAGUCGUUAAUAGCGGCCUCGUUUGACGUUAGCUGCAGAAGAAGCACCGGCUAACUCCGUGCCAGCAGCCGCGGUAAUACGGAGGGUGCGAGCGUUAAUCGGAAUUACUGGGCGUAAAGCGCAUGCAGGUGGUUUGUUAAGUCAGAUGUGAAAGCCCGGGGCUCAACCUCGGAAUAGCAUUUGAAACUGGCAGACUAGAGUACUGUAGAGGGGGUAGAAUUUCAGGUGUAGCGGUGAAAUGCGUAGAGAUCUGAAGGAAUACCGGUGGCGAAGGCGGCCCCCUGGACAGAUACUGACACUCAGAUGCGAAAGCGUGGGGAGCAAACAGGAUUAGAUACCCUGGUAGCACAGAG